GUACCGAAAGUUUGGUCAGUCCACAUCGGUGAAGAUACAUCUCCUUGAAGACCACUUUUUGGAGCAGAUACAGCUCUGGGGGAUGUUUUCUGGAUCUUUCAAUGAGCAAGGUGGUGAGAGUACUCACUCCCUUUUUAAGAAUCACGAACACAUGACAAACCAUGUUCGUAAUGACGAAGACCGAGUUGUGAAAAAGUGCGAGCUAGCAACACGGAAAUACCUGUUGAAAGUGAAAUCCAAGCUGUGUGACUGAAAUGGGUCAAUCAUGAUGGAUUUAGUGUUUGGGACAAUCUGCUAUAUGCCUAAAAUUGAAAGAUUGUUAAUUUGGUGAUGCUUCACCCUCUGUUCAUAUUUUCUACUUGAUCAAUAAUGAUAUUCGCCACAUAUUAUGUAAAACGCCGCUUAUGUUUUGCCAUUAAAAUUUUUUCGUUAUAGUAGUGACUGCGACUGAAACCGCGCAUCACGCAAGUUUUUGUCGCCGCGCGAGGGUGAUUCAAUUUUGUCCACUUCGCCAUAAUUCUCAGAGGAUGUAAUUUGACGAGUGCGGGACAAUUUUGAGCGCAAGGAAUCACUUGAAUCGAAGAUAACGAUUGAGCUGACAAUUUCUCCGGUAAAAAUUAGACCUUAGAUAACUGAAUUGGGAUGACAUCGGAAAUAACUCUGAUGCGAGCAGGAAUACACUAUGUCAUACUCAUAGCAGUAAUACUUAGACGUGAAUAUUAAUAUCCGAUGGAUCAAAUUAGUGUAUAUGUUAUCAUUAUUAUAUAUAUAAAGUGUGCCUCACUGGGGCACCCUUAAGUAACAGUUCCAGCUCGAUAGGCCUCGUAACCGGGAUGGAUAGAGACAAACGAAAUACAUCAUCUCGUCACAAGCAAUCAGAUCUAAGUUAAACGAUAAGGCCAGGACAUACUAUGAGCAUUGAAUUAACUGUCAAAAUGGUAACCUGAGCCCUAGAGGUGAUCACAUGCUAUAAGCCUAACGGAAAAGUAUUCUAAAAAUAUAAAUCUAAUCGUUAAGUUAAACACAUUUGA
This is a long non-coding RNA of Bolinopsis microptera, 1031 nucleotides long. RefSeq lists it as uncharacterized. The record is from RefSeq and is a predicted model, not a curated record. NCBI's taxonomy places the organism in Eukaryota, Metazoa, Ctenophora, Tentaculata, Lobata, Bolinopsidae. The transcript has 3 exons.